AUUGAACGCUGGCGGCAUGCUUUACACAUGCAAGUCGAACGGCAGCGCGGGCUUCGGCCUGGCGGCGAGUGGCGAACGGGUGAGUAAUGCAUCGGAACGUGCCCAGUAGUGGGGGAUAGCCCGGCGAAAGCCGGAUUAAUACCGCAUACGACCUGAGGGUGAAAGCGGGGGACCGAAAGGCCUCGCGCUAUUGGAGCGGCCGAUGUCGGAUUAGCUAGUUGGUGGGGUAAAGGCUUACCAAGGCGACGAUCCGUAGCUGGUCUGAGAGGACGACCAGCCACACUGGGACUGAGACACGGCCCAGACUCCUACGGGAGGCAGCAGUGGGGAAUUUUGGACAAUGGGGGCAACCCUGAUCCAGCCAUGCCGCGUGCGUGAAGAAGGCCUUCGGGUUGUAAACCGCUUUUGUUCGGGAAGAAAUCCUGUGGGCUAAUACCCCGGGGGGAUGACGGUACCGGAAGAAUAAGCACCGGCUAACUACGUG
This 484-nucleotide ribosomal RNA is filed under the name uncultured bacterium. Its description in RNAcentral is "partial 16S ribosomal RNA". It matches the Rfam family "Bacterial small subunit ribosomal RNA", at positions 28 to 507 of the family's 1533-position model. The record is from RNAcentral.